ACAUUCUUUUUUCUUGUUCACAUCCUAAAAAUCAGAAUGAAAAGAAAUAGAAUGGAGAGAGAGAGAGAGAGAAAGAGAGAGAGAGAGAACAAGAAAAGAAGAAGAAAGUGGAAAAGAGGGGAAAUUUCAUGCUCUAUUAAAUCUUGAAGAUUCUUUCAUCAUCAUCAUCUUCAUCCCAAUCUGAAUUUCCAUGUUUUAAUUGAGGCGGGGUUCCAUAGUUAGAUGGGUGUUUUAUGCAGAAAAUGCGUUAUGGACGCCGUGACGGUCUAACCGUCACGUCCCAAUCCAGAUGACGAUCGUUAUCAAGUGAAGACAGGUUACUCGUCAAGACCCAAAGCCCAAUGAAGAGCACUAUGAUGGGUGAUGACCAUCACCGUAACAAACAUGUCACUACUUUCUGGGCGUCUUGUGGUAACGACCAUCAUGGCCACGACUGCCAGACCGUCACCAGGCCCAAAAUGUUGUUUUAACCUUGUUUGGUGAUUUUGGGAAGGCUCCGUCCUUCUAGUGAUUUUAUAUGAUAUGCUAAGAGUCAUUAAAAUAA
Lathyrus oleraceus (garden pea) is the source of this 544-nucleotide long non-coding RNA. RefSeq lists it as uncharacterized. The record is from RefSeq and is a predicted model, not a curated record. NCBI's taxonomy places the organism in Eukaryota, Viridiplantae, Streptophyta, Magnoliopsida, Fabales, Fabaceae. The transcript has 2 exons.